CUUAUCUUCGUGAAAAGGGACGUUUCAGUCACCAGGCUACAACAUAGCCGAAUUCAUCACACAAUACCAUCUGUGUGAUGAAGUGACUCAAAAAAAAUAGUUCAACUAAAUUAAUCCAUAGUUUUCGUAUCAAUAACGGUUUAUAUAGUUUACGAAAAAUAAAUAAUUUCAAACAUCCGAAGAAGUUGAGUCAAAAUACUGUAUUUCCAAUGAUUUUUCAAUUACAUCCUACAUUGAGCAGUCGCCAUUUUCAUAAGAAAUCGAUCGAUGACCAAACACAAGUGGAGCGAACGCCUAUCACACCGCUGGGCGUUUCUGGAAUAGACCAAUUGAUGGAAGCCUGAUGUUUACUGACUGUUAGACGUUGUUGCCGGACGUCUACAUAGCCAAUACUGACGACCUAAGCUAAGCCUAAGUUUGUCAGUACCUAGGUAAACCUUUGAAGUUCAAUGAGUCCCAUACCAUUACGCCACUACACCCAGAUCGCCAUUUUUAUGAAAAAAAAUUAAAAAAAAUCGAUCGAUGACCAAGCAAAAGUGGAGCGAGCGCCAUUUAUGCCGCUGGGCGUUUCAAGAAUAGGCUCAUUGAUGGAAGCCUGAGGUUUACUGACCACUAGACGUUGUUGCGGACGUCUACAUAGCCAAUACUAACGACCUAAGCUAACCCAAAGUCUGACAGUACCUAGGUAAACCCCUGUGUUUCAAUGAGUCCUAUACCAUUACGUCACUACACCCCGAUCGCAGAUAAAAAAAAUUUUCAACACAAUCUAAAAUUUGCAUCACUACGUAACGCACAGUUGUUUCAUGUUUAAUUUAAAGAUUCAAGAGUAAGCCUCGAUAUGACCAUUGCAUUGUACACAAGAGGUGAGAGAAUUUGCAUGUGAAUGUUACCGAUCCUCUCACCAAAUAAUUCUACGGAUAUGAUUGUCGUUGUUGACAAGAAUUCAUGGACAACAACAUGAUGUAUCAAUCGUCCAUUAUCAUAUCAAUGUUCAUUG
This is a long non-coding RNA of Bradysia coprophila, 997 nucleotides long. RefSeq lists it as uncharacterized. Lineage: Eukaryota; Metazoa; Arthropoda; Insecta; Diptera; Sciaridae. The record is from RefSeq and is a predicted model, not a curated record.